RNAcentral lists this ribosomal RNA (397 nucleotides) under uncultured bacterium. RNAcentral's name for it is "partial 16S ribosomal RNA". It matches the Rfam family "Bacterial small subunit ribosomal RNA", at positions 523 to 918 of the family's 1533-position model. The record is from RNAcentral.
AUACGUAGGGGGCGAGCGUUGUCCGGAAUGAUUGGGCGUAAAGGGCGCGUAGGCGGCCCGGUAAGUCUGGAGUGAAAGUCCUGUUUUUAAGAUGGGAAUUGCUUUGGAUACUGUCGGGCUUGAGUGCAGGAGAGGUAAGUGGAAUUCCCAGUGUAGCGGUGAAAUGCGUAGAGAUUGGGAGGAACACCAGUGGCGAAGGCGACUUACUGGACUGUAACUGACGCUGAGGCGCGAAAGUGUGGGGAGCAAACAGGAUUAGAUACCCUGGUAGACCACACUGUAAACGAUGAAUGCUAGGUGUAGGGGGUAUCGACCCCUUCUGUGCCGCAGUCAACACAAUAAGCAUUCCGCCUGGGGAGUACGGCCGCAAGGUUGAAACUCAAAUGAAUUGACGGGG